RNAcentral lists this ribosomal RNA (738 nucleotides) under uncultured archaeon. RNAcentral's name for it is "bacterial SSU rRNA". It matches the Rfam family "Archaeal small subunit ribosomal RNA", at positions 53 to 768 of the family's 1478-position model. The record is from RNAcentral.
GCAUGUCGAGCGCUCUUCAGCUAUGUAGAGAGCGCGGCGAACGGCUCAAUAACACGUAGUUAACCUACCCUCGGGAUGGGAAUAACCCCGGGAAACUGGGAUUAAUACCCACUAGAUGAUUAUACCUGGAAUGGCUUAUCAUCGAAAGAGUCUGGAAACAUGCUUCCAGCGUCGCCCGAGGAUGGGACCGCGUCCGAUCAGGUAGUUGGUGGGGUAAUGGCCUACCAAGCCUAUAACCGGUACGGGCCCUGAGAGGGGGAGCCCGGAGAUGGAAACUGAGAAAAGGUUCCAGGCCCUACGGGGUGCAGCAGGCGCGAAACCUCCACAAUGCGCGAAAGCGUGAUGGGGUUAUCCCGAGUGCCGUCCGAUGAGGAUGGCUUUUUAUCGAUGUAAGGAUUCGAUAGAAUAAAGGGGGGGCAAGACUGGUGUCAGCCGCCGCGGUAAUACCAGCCCCCUGAGUGGUAAGGACGAUUAUUUGGCCUAAAGCGUUCGUAGCCGGCUUAUCAAGUCUUUUGUUAAAUCCAACGAUUCAAUCGUUGGGCCGCAAAAGAUACUGUUAUGCUAGAGGACGGGAGAGGUCGACGGUAGUCCAGGGGUAGGGGUGAAAUCCUAUAAUCCUUGGAGGACCACCAGUGGCGAAGGCUGCUGUCUAGAACACGUCUGACGGUCAGGGACGAAAGCUGGGGUAGCGAACCGGAUUAGAAACCCGGGUAGUCCCAGCUGUAAACGAUGCGGGCU